RNA transcript from Beta vulgaris subsp. vulgaris (sugar beet), 3976 nucleotides. RefSeq lists it as uncharacterized. The record is from RefSeq and is a predicted model, not a curated record. The transcript has 22 exons. NCBI's taxonomy places the organism in Eukaryota, Viridiplantae, Streptophyta, Magnoliopsida, Caryophyllales, Amaranthaceae.
GAGUAAAAACAAGACACAAAAUCAGUGAGUUAGCCCUAGCACGCUGCACGCCUCCCUUCUCCCUCCAAUCUCCAUCGACAUUCAUCUCCACGCUAAAGGAGGGACUUCAGGCGACGCUAGCUUCAGCCCACCACGCUCUGGCACACCCCGACAACGACGCUACUCCAAGCGACACUGAAAUCCCUCGCAUACCACCACCUCACCUCGGCGCUGCUCAUUCUAAGAGGCUGACACAUAGAAAGAAAGAGAGGAAAAAUGUCACAGUCACUUGAGCUGCUACUGAUACAAUUUUUGAUGCCUGACAAUGAUGCUCGAAGGCAAGCUGAGGAUCAAAUUAAGCGCUUAUCGAAGGAUCCUCAAGUAGUUCCUGCGUUGGUUCAUCAUCUUCGCACUGCUAAGACUCCUAAUGUUCGUCAGCUUGCUGCUGUUUUGCUGCGAAAGAAGAUUACUGGCCAUUGGGCCAAGCUUUCUCCUCAAUUACGUCAACUCGUUAAACAGUCACUCAUUGAGAGCAUCACCCUCGAGCAUAGUCCACCAGUGAGACGAGCAAGUGCAAAUGUUGUCAGUGUCAUCGCAAAGUAUGCUGUUCCUGCUGGCGAGUGGCCAGACUUGUUACCAUUUCUUUUUCAAUGCAGUCAGAGUGUGCAAGAGGAUCACAGGGAGGUUUCAUUGAUUCUCUUCAGCUCGUUGACUGAAACAAUAGGGGAUACAUUUCGGCCACAUUUUGCAGACCUUCAAAGUCUAUUGCUAAAAUGUUUGCAGGAUGAGGCAAGCAGUCGAGUUAGAGUUGCAGCACUCAAGGCUGUGGGGUCUUUUCUGGAGUUUACAAAUGAUGCAACUGAAGUGGUCAGAUUCAGGGACUUUAUACCUGGAAUUUUGCAUGCUGCAAGACAGUGUCUUGCUUCUGGUGAAGAAGACGUGGCUGUAAUUGCCUUCGAAAUAUUUGAUGAAUUGAUCGAGUCACCUGCACCACUUCUUGGGGAUUCUGUUAAAUCAAUAGUGCAGUUUUCUCUCGAGGUUUGCUCCAAUCAGAACUUGGAUGUGAGCACCCGCCAUCAGGCUAUUCAAAUAAUCUCCUGGCUGGCGAAAUUCAAGUAUAAUUCUCUUAAAAAACACAAGUUGGUCAUGCCAGUUUUGCAUGUCAUCUGCCCUUUGCUUGCAGAAUCAAGUGACAGGGAUGAUGAUGAAGACCUUGCCCCAGAUCGAGCUGCUGCAGAAGUUAUUGAUACAAUGGCUUUGAACCUCCCAAAGCAAGUUUUCCAACCAGUCUUUGAAUUUGCAUCAAUAAGCUGUCAAAAUGUUGAUCCAAAGUUUCGUGAAGCCGCAGUGACAGCUCUGGGAGUUAUAUCUGAGGGGUGCUUGGAUUUGAUGAAAAAUGAUUUGAAGCCUGUGCUUCAUAUAGUUUUGGGGUCUUUAAGGGACCCAGAGCAGAUGGUGAGAGGUGCUGCUUCAUUUGCGUUAGGUCAGUUUGCUGAGUACCUGCAGCCUGAGAUUAUAUCACACUAUGAAAGUGUGCUGCCCUGUAUAUUAAAUGCAUUGGAGGAUGCAUCUAAUGAAGUAAAGGAAAAGGCAUACUACGCUUUGGCUGCCUUUUGUGAGAAUAUGGGCGAGGAAAUCCUUCCCUUUAUUGAUCCUUUGAUGGGAAAACUUCUGGCAGCUCUUGAAAGCAGUCCUCGGAAUUUACAAGAGACUUGCAUGUCUGCAAUUGGUUCUGUUGCAUCUGCAGCAGAGCAAGCUUUCUUACCAUAUGCUGAGAGGGUUCUUGAGCUGAUGAAAAAUUUCAUGGUUCUGACUAAUGAUGAGGAUCUCCGUUCACGAGCUAGGGCGACUGAGUUAGUAGGAAUAGUAGCAAUGUCUGUUGGGAGAGCAAGAAUGGAGCCAAUAUUGCCACCUUAUAUUGAAGCAGCAAUUGCUGGUUUCGGGUUAGAAUUUAGUGAGCUGCGCGAAUAUACGCAUGGGUUUUUCAGCAAUGUGGCUGAGAUAUUGGAUGAUGGAUUUGUGAAGUACCUUCCACAUGUUGUGCCCUUAGCAUUCUCCUCCUGCAAUCUUGAUGAUGGUUCAGCAGUUGACAUUGAUGAAUCUGAUGGUGAUGAAAAUGUUAAUGGAUUUGGUGGAGUUUCAUCAGAUGAUGAAGCUCAUGAUGAACCAAGAGUUAGAAAUAUCAGCGUAAGGACAGGAGUCUUAGAUGAAAAGGCAGCCGCAACUCAGGCCCUAGGACUGUUUGCUCUUCAUACGAGAAGCUUUUAUUCACCAUACUUGGAGGAAUCUAUAAAAAUCUUGGUACGACAUUCUGGGUACUUUCAUGAGGAUGUAAGGCUUCAGGCCGUUAUUUCCUUGAAAAAUAUACUCAUAGCAGCACAGGCAGUGUUUCAAGGUCAUCCGGAUGGUUCAACAAAGGCCAAAGAAGUUUUUGAUACUGUCCUGAAAAUUUAUAUUAAGACUAUGACGGAGGAUGAUGACAAGGAAGUUGUGGCUCAAGCUUGUAUGGGUAUAGCAGACAUCAUCAACGAUACAGGAUACACGGCUAUAGAGGCUUAUAUGCCGCAGCUAGUUGAUGCAACACUAGUGCUGCUUAAUGAGCAGUCGGUUUGUCAGCAGAUUGAGUCAGACAGUGACAUUGAUGAAGAUGACACUGAGCAUGAUGAGGUCUUAAUGGAUGCAGUCUCUGACCUCCUUCCUGCAUUUGCCAAAUCUAUGGGCCCUCAUUUUGAACCCAUAUUAGGCAAAUUAUUUAGUCCCCUGAUGAAAUUUGCGAAAGCUUCACGUCCACCACAAGAUCGGACCAUGGUAGUUGCAACACUUGCAGAAGUUGCGCAGAACAUGGGUCCUCCUAUUGCAGGCUAUGUUGAUGCGGUGAUGCCAUUGGUAUUGAAAGAAUUGCCAUCUUCUGAUGCAACAAAUCGUAGAAAUGCUGCCUUUUGCGUUGGGGAGUUUUGCAGAAAUGGUGGUGAUGUGGCUUUGAAAUAUUAUGGUGACAUCCUGAGGGGACUCCAUCCACUUUUUGGUGAUAUCGAACCAGAUAAUGCUGUGAGAGAUAAUGCAGCAGGUGCUGUGGCGAGGAUGAUUAUGGUGCAUCCUGAGGCUAUCCCAUUAAAUCAGGUACUCCCUGUUUUCCUCAAAGCUCUUCCUAUUAAAGAAGAUCAUGAGGAGUCAACUGCUGUUUAUAGCUGUGUUUGUAAUCUUGUUCUGUCAUCCCAUCCUCAGAUGUUGUCAUUGGUUCCGGACUUGGUGAAUCUUUUUGCUGAAGUUGCAUUAUCACCUCGUGAGACUAGCGAAGUUAAAGCCUUGAUAGGAAGGGCCUUUUCACAUCUUAUCUCAAUGUAUGGCAAUCGAAUGCAGCCCAUAGUGAGUUCGCUCUCUCCUGCGCAUGCUAAUGCUCUUGCUUCACUGGCUCCAAAUAGUUGAUUUCUCUUGCGGCAUUCAGAGAUAAUGUCUUGUCUGGUCCUAAAAAUCUAAAAUAUUGAUGUACGAUGGCCAAGGCCGAGGUGGGAGUCUUUCACCUCUCCCUCUCAGUUCAAAUAUCAUCCACCCCUCUUUCAAAAGAAUUAUUAAGCACCAAGCAUGGGAGAGCCUAUGCUACGUCCACGUUUCAAGCCCAAGGGGGCUUUCAUGUGAAGGGGAGUGAUAGAGUAUAUAAUAUAUUCUUGAGCCUCAACCAUCAACUUAAACUUUCCUCUAACAGUGGUUGACAACAACUAGUAUUAUAUCAAUUUGGAGGGAUGAUUUGAACAAGUUAAAUACUUUGUAUAUAAUUAAUCUCAUCAUUGAGUUUGCUCUAUUCGACUUAUUUUGUACAUGUCUAGGAAUAUGUCUUUAAUUUUUCAUUAUCUAUUUACGAAUUUUUAUUUGUGGGUGACAACCAACUAGUAUUACAUCAAUUUGGAGGGAUGAUAAUUUUGUACAAGUGAAAUACUAUGUAUAAAUUUAUUCCCAUCAUUGGGUUUGUUCUAUUUGAUUUAAUUUUUACUUCUCUGAA